GUCUUUUUGAAUUUAAUUUAAGGUCUAAUCUGCCCACUGAUUAUAAUAAUUAAAUGGCCGCAGUAUUUUAACUGUGCAAAGGUAGCAUAAUCAUUAGUCUUUUAAUUGAGGGCUGGAAUGAAUGAUUGGACGAGAAAUAAUCUGUCUCAUAAAAAUUUUUUUUAAAAUUUUAUUUUUUAGUAAAAAAGCUGAAAUAAGUUUAAAAGACGAGAAGACCCUAUAGAUCUUUAUAUAAAUUUUAUAACUUAUUUAUUAGAUAAUUUAUAUAAUUAUAUUAAUUUAUAUUUUGUUGGGGUGACAUUGAAAUUUAAAAAACUUUCAAAUAUUAUUUAACAUUUAUUAAUGGUUUAUAUUGAUCCUGUAUUAUGGAUAUAAAGAUUAAGUUACCUUAGGGAUAACAGCGUAAUUAUUUCGGAGAGUUCUUAUUGAUGAAAUAGAUUGCGACCUCGAUGUUGGAUUAAGAUUAAUAAUAGGGGCAGUUUCUUAUUAUAUUAAGUCUGUUCGACUUUUAAAUUCUU
Molecule: ribosomal RNA, 518 nt
Filed under: Argyra argyria
Lineage: Eukaryota; Metazoa; Arthropoda; Insecta; Diptera; Dolichopodidae
Description: partial 16S ribosomal RNA
Rfam family: Bacterial large subunit ribosomal RNA (bases 394-518)
Source: RNAcentral